CGGCUGGAGUUGUCGAAGUUGGUGGUGGCCGCGAUGAGCGCGGCUUCUCUCCGCUUCCCCGCCCGGCGGGGCCCCUGAUGGCUGCUGCCCCCGCCUCGCAGGCUGCUGGGUUUGGUCUCGGGUGGCUUUUUUUUAUGUGUUUUUCUUUUUGUUAUUAUUUUUCUCCUCCGUCUCGCUCUCGCUCCAGCCAAGGUGAAUGGCCCGCGGUGGGUGUAGCUGGCCUCAGCGGCUCCGCAAGGGGAAAAUGCUGGCGGUGGGGGUGCUGGCCGGCCUCUCGGUGCUCAGCCUCCUCACCUACGGCUACCUGUCCUGGGACAGCCUCGGACGCGGCCCCGGAGAGGCGCCGGCAGCGCUGGGAGAAGAGCCGGGGGUCGGCGCCCCCAGCUCGCAGCCGCACAUCAUCUUCAUCCUGGCUGACGAUCAGGGCUUCAGAGAUGUAGGGUACCACGGCUCGGAGAUCAGGACGCCCACUCUGGACAUGCUAGCUGCUGAAGGGGUUAAACUGGAGAACUAUUAUGUUCAGCCUAUGUGCACACCAUCCAGAAGCCAGUUUAUCACUGGAAAGUACCAGAUACACACCGGCCUUCAGCACUCCAUUAUACGGCCAACCCAGCCCAACUGCCUACCUCUGGAUAACGUCACGCUACCUCAGAAGCUGAAGGAGGUUGGUUACUCAACACACAUGGUUGGCAAAUGGCACUUGGGGUUUUAUCGCAGAGAAUGCAUGCCCACACAGAGAGGAUUUGACACUUUCUUUGGCUCACUCUUAGGCAGCGGUGACUACUACACUCACUUCAAAUGUGACAGCCCUGGAAUAUGUGGCUAUGACCUGUAUGAGAAUGAUAAUGCAGCUUGGGAUCACGACAAUGGCAUCUACUCCACACAGAUGUACACGCAAAAAGUACAACAAAUAUUAGCUUCUCACAAUCCCAGGAAACCUAUAUUCUUAUAUAUUGCUUACCAAGCUGUUCAUUCGCCUCUUCAGGCACCAGGAAAGUAUUUUGAACAUUAUCGAUCCAUAAAUAACAUAAACAGGCGAAGAUAUGCUGCGAUGCUAGCUUGUUUGGAUGAAGCCAUAAACAACGUAACCCUUGCUCUAAAGAAGUACGGUUACUAUGACAAUAGCAUUAUCAUAUACUCUUCAGAUAACGGUGGGCAGCCAAUGGCUGGAGGAAGUAACUGGCCUCUCCGAGGGAGCAAAGGAACAUACUGGGAAGGAGGUAUCCGUGCUGUUGGGUUUGUCCACAGCCCCCUUCUGAAAAACAAAGGGUCUGUGUGUAAGGAGCUUGUGCACAUCACGGACUGGUUCCCCACUUUGAUCACACUGGCUGAAGGACAGAUUGAUGAAGAUAUCCAGUUAGAUGGCUAUGAUAUAUGGGAAACCAUUAGCGAAGGCAGACGUUCUCCACGGGUAGACAUCUUACACAACAUUGACCCAAUUUACACCAAAGCCAAAAAUGGUUCUUGGGCAGCUGGCUAUGGGAUCUGGAACACUGCAAUUCAAUCUGCCAUCAGAGUGAAUCAUUGGAAACUACUGACAGGAAAUCCAGGAUAUAGUGACUGGGUUCCUCCGCAGGCCUUCAGCAACAUGGGCCCCAAUCGCUGGCAUAAUGAACGUGUUUCUUGGUCAGCUGGCAAAACUGUGUGGCUUUUCAACAUAACUGCUGAUCCAUAUGAACGGGUGGACCUCUCUGCAAAGUAUCCUGAUGUAGUGAAACAGCUGUUGAGGAGGCUUUCACAGUUUAAUAAGACUGCGGUUCCUGUUCGGUACCCACCUAAGGAUCCACGGAGUAACCCAAAGCUGAAUGGAGGAGUCUGGGGUCCAUGGUUUAAAGAGGAUGAAAAGAAGAAGUCAGAUAAAAGUAAAGGUGCUAAUAAGCAAAAGAAGGACAAGAACAAGAAAAAAGCAAAUCGGAAAAAAGGACAAUCAUUACAUUGCCGAUCACGUCUUGCUGGUGGAUAGACUUUCAGCAUUCUUGUUUUUGCCAAGCCUAAGACAGCUUGGCCCAAAUUCCUUGAAUUCUGACAAUAUACCAGAAAUGCCUGCUCUGCACUAUAGAGGAAAGCUGUCAUCUUUUAAUUUGUUCUCAAAUUUCACUAGGAUGAGAUAUUUUGACGCUGCAUCAAACAUACAUAAACAUCCAUGUGACAGACUUUCUCCUCUGCAGGAAGAAUGGUGCUCUUCCAUCACAGCUAAAUUCCAGAUAAGAACACAAUUACUCCUAACUUCAGAAGGCCCAUUUUUGAUGGACAAAUGAUUGUUCCUUGCCUGAAUUAGUUAGAAUUUUUUGAGAGUCUGGAAUGGCAGAUGAUUCAUAGAGAGAAAGGAAAAGCAAAGCUUGAAAACUUCUGUAGGUCUGAGAGUAUUAGCCACCAACCUGUGACGUUUUUUGAUAAAACACAGCAAAAAUUGAAGCCAACAGUAUCUUUUUUGGGGGUGCUGGGGAGAGAAACACGAUAGUAGGAAAGCUGCUUUGAAUUAGACAGUGUCUCUCUUAGGUAAACCAGAAAUACUUUUUAAAUUCUCUAAAUGUGCUAACCUUUCCUCAUUUGUAGUAAAACCAGAAGGUUGUUAUCAGCACACCUGAAUAACUAGCACAUGUCAUAUAUAAUUUAUUAUAGGCAUAGGCAAAAGCACAUCACCAAAGUGAAUGUAAUAUUUAAACACUUUAAGAUAUCUAUUCUACAGAACAUGCAAGACGUAAUUUAUUUUACAGCACAAUACUUUCUUCUUUUCCAUUCAAACUUUAAUUAGUGGGUGAUGCAAGGGUUGUUUGUUUUGCUUUUGAUUUUUAAUUUUAUUUUCACUCAGUCAUUCAGAGUUUUGUUCAACAGAUCCAAAUCCUCAGAGUACUGUAAAACAAGGAAAUGCUGUAGACACUGCUAGGAUGAGAGAGGAGAAUGAUUCAGGCAAAAUGAGAGUCUUUGAAUGCAAACAGUGCAAAGCAGAACAGUGGAUCAGUUCUUGCAUGAAAUAUAUGUGCCAAAAUGUUCAGCAGACUGAGAUAUCACUGACAUCUGUUUCCUUCUUAUCCACUCCUGCAAAGGCCAGCAUCAGGACUUGUAGUAGAAGACAGUCCUUGAAGUCCAGCUAAAAUCAUGUCUUUCUCAAAUUUGUCAUGAUUGCUGCCAAGAGAAGUUUAGCUGUAGUUCCUAUAAUGAAUAGGCACCUGAGGAGCAUGAGAAUAAAGCUGGUAUUUAAUGUGGAACCAGCUCUGUUAACCUCUUGGAGAAAAAUGUCAGCUCUUGGCAAAGGCAUUCAUGUUACUAGAAUUGUUCAGCUGGACCUCACCGCUUCUAGGAUAUGAGAUGGUGAAUAAUAGGAUAAGAGAAGCAAGAGAUAGAAGAUAUCUGCAGAGUUCUCUUCAUGAAGACUGUGGCGUUACACUCUUGGCCUAUGAAAAAUGUACAUCAUUUGCUGGACAGUUGCAAUGGGUUUCUGUGAAGCAGAAGAGCUGUUGAUGCUUCAUUCAAUUCUGCAUUUGUUUGAAGGAAGACCUCCAAACAGCAAAAGAAUUCAUCUGAAUUUUUACACCAUCAGUAGAUGACUGUUAAACAUGAUGUAUUCUCAGUUACUGUCUAUGUGUGUUUCUAGUGCUAGGCAAUAAAAGAUAAGCCAAGAGAUUUGCAAGCAAUAUCUUAAUGAUAUUAGCACAGCGUGCAAAGUAUGCAGCAAGAAGAGUCUGUUAAGAAUGUUAAGAGUUAAGAGUGUGUUAAGCAACCUUAUCCUAGAAUUCAGGAACCUUUACUUUUCCAUUAAAAAAUUUGCUAAGUCUUCUCCUAAGGCCUUUGAGUGUUUGUCACUAGCAUUAGGCCCUCUCUAUCCAUGUGGUCCUUAGAAAAUGAAGCUUUGAAUUUUUGUCUCAGAUUCUAUCUGCUACACAUUGGAUUGUGAAAAGUGUGCUCAGACUCAUUAAAUCUACAGGGCUUGGAAGCUGUCUUUGUGGUUAUGCCACAAACAAUAUUGCAUGCAGGACCAAAGUGCUGUAACUCUUUGGCAUGAGGCACAGUGCAUGCAAGAGCUUAGGAGCAGUCACGCAACCAUCUCUUAACACAUCUCCUGUUCUUCAGCUGCUGACAAAGAGGUGUUUUUUAAAAAAGUUAUAAGUUAAACAGAUGUCCUUGGAGAGGCUGAAGACGAAAAUAUUUCUCAAGUGAGCAAUUUCACUCACAGAGAAUGGAAGCUGUUUUGGUAGGUUGCUACAGGUAGCGAGGAGCAGAACUGCAGUGCUGUUUCCUGUUUUGUGGUUAAAAUACAAUACAAUACCUGAUGCGGAGUGCUUAAACACAUAGAGGAUAAAGUCCUAUAGGACUUAAUUUUCACAGGCCAAGAUGGGACAGUCCGUGUACAAAUGUGCAUAAGCGAGCUGUGCUACUGCACCACUUCAAUUACUUCUACCUCCAAGUGGAGAUCCAGAGGCACUAUGAAAUCUACAGACUGGAUGAUUUUGAACCUUUUUUCAGAGAAGUUGUGAAUGCCAGUAAAUAAAUAGCAGAUAAAGUAGAAACAACUUCUAUGCCACUGUUGGUGGAUGGCAGGGAAAAGCAAAAAGAAAUAUUACGUAGGAAAUUAUUAGUUGGUGAAGGGAAGGGGAAAAAAAGAGAAUCUUUUCAUUUCCUUAAAGGUGCUUAUUUCUUGAAUUUAACACAGCUAACUUGACAUAUUCUUUCUUGAAAAAAAAAAAAGAACCUCUGCCUCUCAUUUGCCUUUGCAUUACUUUCAUCUUGAGUGUGAAAUUCCAAGUUACUGUGAAAAAGCUGCCCUACGAAUAUUCUUGGCAAUACUGCAAGCAGAAAGUACAGGAAACCUCACAAGAGAGUUUGUUCCAGCAGCACUGCCAUCCACGUUUCACAGCUGCAAGGACAUUCAAAGUCAGUCUAAAUACCGUCUUUUCCCUUGUACAGAAUCUUGCUGAAGUGGAAGUACCUGGGACCUGAAAAGUUUAACAAAGUUAUGGCAGAAUCACAAACUGCUGAAAUAAAGUGGAAAGGAAAAGUCAUCCAUGAGAAAAAAGUUUCACAAACCAUUUCUCUGCUGUUUAUUGUUUCUACAUUUCAGAGAAGAGAGACCGUGGGGAACAUAUAAGGCUGUAUGUGAAUACCUGGAAAAGCCCAAACCGUGUUGAUUUUGCCAUCAAAAUACAGAAGCCUUCAGUGCUGAAACAGCAUUAGAGUCUAGAGGGAAUAGAUGUGAUUCAAAGCUUUCUUAGCUGAUUUCACCUUAUGUUCAACUACCGUCACUCUUGAGUGACACAGAAGCUCAGCCUUGGCUUAUACAUACUGUGCUACAGUUGCUGAAGCUUCUCAGGGUGCCCCUAAAGGAAAGAAAUUCAUGCCUCAACGCUGUCAAAGAGUACAGACUUUGAAGUCCAUAAAGCUCAACCUGACAUUGAGAAGGUGGAAGCAGCAAUGCAACCAGAGUCCCGCUUCUUCAUUUUGAAGUAAAGAGGCAAUCUUGCAUCAUGGAUGAAUUUAUUCCUUUAUAGAUGGGUGGUAGUGGGUUUUCCACUCUGUGUACUACCAACUUUCUCCAAGAUUGAUGUCACCUGCACCUAAUGACAAUGAGAGCACAUCCAGCUACAAGCAGCUCUCUGUAUAACCUGCUGAUCAGUGUUUUUCCUGUGGUACAACAGACUAAGCUCUCUUGUUGAUCUCAGCUUCCUUCACCCCCUCCUUGUUUGUUAUGUCAAGCCCACCACCACUCUCCUGGUGCAACCAGAGCUGGGUGUCAGGUGUUGUCCAUGCAAGCCUCUCUAGAGCAGCACAAGGCAGAGUGACUUUUAUCAUGCUGCUGAGGAGACCAUUGCUCGCCAGUGAGUUCUGCCAAUCUGGGUUCACAUUUUGUAUCAACAAGAUUUGUAUGCUUUAUUGAUCAAGUUACAGUUCAUUGGCUUUAUUGUCAUAUGCACCUGUAACCGCAUCAGUGUUCACUGUCACUCACUUUGGGGCAGUAAAGCUUUGCCACAGGAAUACUUGAGAAGGACCAUGGGCUGCCAUUCAAGACCAUCUGGUACUAAACAGUAUUUCUCUAAACCCAUGGUUACCUAGGUAUCAAUCAAGGCCGUUUUCUAUCUGGACCUCUGCUGUAAGUGGCCAUUCAGUUUGUCCAUAAGCUAAAUAUACAGUACUCCUAGCAGAGCUCAUAAUGAGUGUACACGAAUGACCUUUCAAAAGCUCUCUAACUCCUUCAAAACACAAGCAGAGAGAAAGUCUGUAUUUGUGAGAUCAGAAAUAAAAUGAAAACCUCGCUUUGGCUGAAUAAAAAAGCCAUAUACAGGAAAGCCCUUGAUGAAUAGCAUACUUUUAACAAAAAUACCAUUUCCUUUGCCACAAUAAAUAUUGUUUCAGAUUCUGAAAUUAAGUGCUUGUUCCACUGGGCUGUAACAUUUUGUUAAGCUGCAGAGACGUUAGAGGAACAGCUAUUCCAUUUCUUACAGACUUCAGCUAUUUACAAUUCUCUUUUAAUAUUUCUUUUUUCUGGAGGAGAGAAACAUGUCCUAGGAUUUUCUCUAAGCCUUUUUUGGUUCAUUAUGGAGGUCUGACUUUCUGCGUCCACUAAAGCAACCACAGAUGAACUACUUUUGCGGCCUUAGGGAAACCUGAACCUGGAGCCAGCUUUUAGAAUUCACUGACAGGCCCAGGUCCUUGGCUGCCGUGGCAGAGGCUCUGCUCCUCUCAGAAAGUUUGGAGAAUUUAUGGAGGACUUAAGUAGCAGCUACAAAUCAUCGUUCUGUUUCAGCUCAAGAGUGAACUGCAUUUAAGGGAGCAUUGUUGUAACAAGAAGAAAACUUCCCAGCUCAAGUGUUUCCAAGCUAUUAAUCAUUCCCAAGUAUCUGUCCCCCUGGAAAUUCUCCAAGUCCUUAUGAUACUGCUCUUGUAAACAAUUAUUUUCUUUCCUGAACUCCUGUAAUAAAAUUCAUACUGGAUAUUGCUCUUAGGACA
Lagopus leucura (white-tailed ptarmigan) is the source of this 6942-nucleotide RNA transcript. It is a transcript of the gene named arylsulfatase family member J, with no coding region annotated. The record is from RefSeq and is a predicted model, not a curated record. Lineage: Eukaryota; Metazoa; Chordata; Aves; Galliformes; Phasianidae. The transcript has 9 exons.